AGGGAUGUAGCUCAGUGGUAGAGUGCUUGCCUAGCAUACACAAGGCCCUGGGUUCAAUCCCCACUACUCCUC
RNAcentral lists this transfer RNA (72 nucleotides) under Heterocephalus glaber (naked mole-rat). It matches the Rfam family "tRNA". Rfam says of the family: Transfer RNA (tRNA) molecules are approximately 80 nucleotides in length. Their secondary structure includes four short double-helical elements and three loops (D, anti-codon, and T loops). Lineage: Eukaryota; Metazoa; Chordata; Mammalia; Rodentia; Bathyergidae. The record is from Rfam by way of RNAcentral.